This 264-nucleotide long non-coding RNA is filed under the name Carica papaya (papaya). Its description in RNAcentral is "long non-coding RNA (CPAP_LNC002830)". The record is from RNAcentral. Lineage: Eukaryota; Viridiplantae; Streptophyta; Magnoliopsida; Brassicales; Caricaceae.
UCCCCUGAGAGUAUGAUAGAUGAAGGCAGAAAGACAACGAAGUUCGAGUGUGGCCUCCGUUCUUAGAUCAAAAAGCAGUUGUAUGUAUUUGAGCUCAGCACCUACUCAGCUGUUCUGACCAAGACACAAUUAGUAGAGAGGAACAUUUGUAUCUUCCCUCAAGCAGUGGAAAAUCUCAGACCUCCGGUUUCACAUCACAAGCCAGUACCCAAUGCACUGGUUCAGCAGAACAAGAGGCAUAGACUAAUGACUCAGACUCCUCCU